GUCUACGCUGUCAAAGAUGAAUGCUAAUAUUAGGUUGUUGGUAUCUAGUAUAAAGUUAACACGUUAAGCAUUCCACCUGGGAAGUACGAUCGCAAGAUUGGAACUCAAAGGAAUUGGCGGGAGUCUACACAAGUGGUGGAGCAUGUUGUUUAAUGCGAUAAUACGCGCAAAAUCUUACCAGUUUUUGAAUAUUCUAAGAAAGUAUGUUAUAUUACUUUAUAUUAUAAAUAGUUUUUAAUUAUUAAUGAUGCUAGAAUA
RNAcentral lists this ribosomal RNA (258 nucleotides) under uncultured bacterium. Its description in RNAcentral is "partial 16S ribosomal RNA". It matches the Rfam family "Bacterial small subunit ribosomal RNA", at positions 793 to 1051 of the family's 1533-position model. The record is from RNAcentral.